This 980-nucleotide ribosomal RNA is filed under the name Astrobrachion adhaerens. Its description in RNAcentral is "eukaryotic LSU rRNA". It matches the Rfam family "Eukaryotic large subunit ribosomal RNA", at positions 1295 to 2094 of the family's 3401-position model. The record is from RNAcentral. Lineage: Eukaryota; Metazoa; Echinodermata; Ophiuroidea; Euryalida; Asteronychidae.
UGCCGAAUCAACUAGCCCUGAAAAUGGAUGGCGCUGAGCGUGACGCUCAUACCCGGCCGUCGGCGGCAGUGCAGUAGGCCCCGACGAGUAGGAGGGACGCCGUGGUGAGCAACGAAGCGACGGCCGAGAGGCCGCGCGGAGCCGCCUCGGGCGCAGAUCUUGGUGGUAGUAGCAAAUACUCAAGUGAGAGCCUCGAGGACCGAGUCGUGGAGAAGGGUUCCAUGUGAACAGCCGUUGCACAUGGGUCAGUCGAUCCUAAGGUCUAGGGAAGUUCCGCUCUGAGCGGCGGCGCGCGCCCACCUCAGCCGUGGGCAAGCGCUCCCUGGUCGAAAGGGAAUCGGGUCAAUAUUCCCGAACCUGAAGGUGGAGCCCGCCGCCUCUAAACCGGCGGUCAGAGCUGCAAAGCUACGGAGCCCGGAGACGCCGACCGGAGCCCCGGGAAGAGUUGUCUUUUCUUUGUAAGGGGCGCGGCUCCCUGAAACCGACUGGAUCGGAGAGAGGGACCGCGGCCCCGUAGAGCGCCGCGUCUGGAGCGGCAUCCGGAGUUGCACCGGUCGGCCCUUGAAAAUCCGGGGGACGAGCGUGGACUCUCACCUCAGAUCGUACCCAUAACCGCAGCAGGUCUCCAAGGUGAACAGCCUCUGGUCAAUAGAACAAUGUAGGUAAGGGAAGUCGGCAAGCCGGAUCCGUAACUUCGGGAUAAGGAUUGGCUCUGAGGACUGGGUCGGUCGGGCCGGGGCUGGAAGCAGGCACGGACCCUCAGCGUGACUGGGCGAGCCGGUCGAGACGCUCGUUUCCCUUCUCCCCCCUCUGGGGGAGUCUCUCUGGGGUCGCCUCCGGGCGGUCUCGGCGGGGGCUCUCUCUCUCACGUGGGGGCGGGUCGGGCGGGCACGAGACUGGCGAACCCGGACUUUGCAUUGGGUCCGGCUCGUGGACCGUCCUGGCUGCGCGGCGGCCUCGCGUCGUCGCCUCGGCCGGCG